CCUGAGAUCCUUAAAUCACA
Molecule: small nuclear RNA, 20 nt
Filed under: Arabidopsis thaliana (thale cress)
Lineage: Eukaryota; Viridiplantae; Streptophyta; Magnoliopsida; Brassicales; Brassicaceae
Description: snRNA_18249
Source: RNAcentral